This 391-nucleotide unclassified non-coding RNA is filed under the name soil metagenome. RNAcentral's name for it is "partial contains 5.8S ribosomal RNA, internal transcribed spacer 2, and large subunit ribosomal RNA". The stretch from base 1 to 122 matches the Rfam family "5.8S ribosomal RNA", at positions 35 to 154 of the family's 154-position model. The record is from RNAcentral.
GAUGAAGAACGUAGCGAAAUGCGAUACUUGGUGCGAAUUGCAGAAUCCCGUGAACCAUCGAGUCUUUGAACGCAAGUUGCGCCCGAAGCCAUUAGGCCGAGGGCACGCCUGCCUGGGCGUCACACGUCGUUGCCCCCCCAUCUAAUCCUUCGGGAUUGCGGGGGGCGGAUGAUGGCCUCCCGUGCGCCUCGUCGCGCGGUUGGCAUAAAUGCCAAGUCCUCGGCGACGCACGCCACGACAAUCGGUGGUUGCGAAACCUCGGUUGCCCGUCGUGUGCGGUCGUCGCGCAUCGAGGGCUCGAAAAAAUUGCCGGGCUCCGGCUCGACUUUCAACGCGACCCCAGGUCAGGCGGGGUUACCCGCUGAAUUUAAGCAUAUCAAUAAGCGGAGGA